Cavia aperea (Brazilian guinea pig) is the source of this 136-nucleotide small nucleolar RNA. The record is from Ensembl. Lineage: Eukaryota; Metazoa; Chordata; Mammalia; Rodentia; Caviidae.
ACUGGCCUGAAUCAAGGCCAGCCGUUUUCUGAAGCUGUUUUUUCAAGUAGGAGUGUAAAAUGAUAUCUUUCUAUGAUCUGUUGGCCAUUUCAGACCUUUAAAAAUAUAAUGGUCAAUUCACUAUGAAUACCAAAAA